Mauremys mutica (yellowpond turtle) is the source of this 385-nucleotide long non-coding RNA. RefSeq lists it as uncharacterized. The record is from RefSeq and is a predicted model, not a curated record. The transcript has 3 exons. Lineage: Eukaryota; Metazoa; Chordata; Testudines; Geoemydidae.
CCACCCAACAAACAUAAUGUGUUCCAGUACACAGAUUUUGUAGAACAUAAAGAGAAAAUGGCUGCCCUCUACCAUUACAUCUAGGUAAAGAAUUCUAUUAUCUUGUGGCAGCCUGAAAGAAGUGCUGUUUUGUUGCCUUAUAAUGACAACUGGAAAACAUGAAAGGAAAUUGAGCAUUACUGCAGCUGAGUUCAUGCUAAGUUCACUAUGAAAUACCACAUCCUUCGGAAGAUGCAGGGCUGGAACCAGCAACCACUUGGGAGUCUCAGCUACAUUGGCCUGAUAUGAAAAAGUUUAGAACAAUUCAGUAUUUUCUAUCUUACGGCCUGCCCCUAGCCAUGUUAUUUGUUGAGACCUGUGAUCAGAUUACUGAAAGAUUACACUU